RNAcentral lists this long non-coding RNA (1190 nucleotides) under Scleropages formosus (Asian bonytongue). RNAcentral describes it as "lncRNA (ENSSFOG00015024530.1)". Lineage: Eukaryota; Metazoa; Chordata; Actinopteri; Osteoglossiformes; Osteoglossidae. The record is from RNAcentral.
CUGCUGGUGGUGGGUGGGGAGGGGGGCUGCAAGCGAACCCUUCGCAGGGGGCGAGAGAUGCGCUCGAGCCACACAACUUGUUCAGCUCGUGCAGAAGUGUCGGCUUACAAAUCCACCGAACCGAGGCAUUAAAAGCAUCUAGGAAAACAUGCCGGUCUUCCAAAAUGUACACUUCAAAAGAGCUCCGACGUCUUCUUCGGGAAGCGCGCGCAGCCAGAGAACAGACAGACAACGAGGAACGUGCCCGAGGACGGAGGACAAGGGAGACGAAGAUGACGAGGAUGACGACGAGGACAAGGAUGAGCUCAAAACCGCAGACGGUACCAGGGUGAGAAAAAACAGCCCCCGGUCCGGUCCACACCCCAGUGACAGCGACACCCAUCGUUCAGUUUUAUUCCUUUUCAGCAGGGUUAACAAUGUCAUCUUGUUUAGCUCCAGGCUGCUGGAAAUCUGACGCUCUUAUUAACCUUUAAUGUCAUACUGGGAUUCGGCUCAUGAGCGACGCGCCGCUGGCCUUCAUUUAUCUUUAAGACGUCUCCAAGGGACUUUUCCAAAACGGUCAUCUUACACCGAGACUCCUCAUUGCUUUUUCCAACCCCUGCUCUCCUUCUUUCUAGAGGACGAGUGAGGUUCAAUUCCACCGUGUUUUACACUCCUUUGUAACUGUUUCAAACCUAACCGACACACGGGAUCUCAUGGAUGAUAUUUGUUUUUUACAAGUCAGUUCAUAUUCCUGCAGUGCUAGUAGAGCCUGACACUUGAAUUUGCUCAUCAGUCACUUUGCUUUUCCCCAAAGUGACAUAAAACUCAGAAACGAGUGAAAGAGCGCCAACAGCAAAGAGCUUUAGACACAGACAGAGGAUUACGGACACAUCUUGUGUGCCCGACACCACCAUGUUGGUGGUUCGAAUCCCUCCAGUAGCUCCUAUAGAAGUGACAUUCACAUAGCAAAUACACAGAUAAUCACAGCAGAUGAUGUUGGACUCAUUUAUGGAGCUACUGGGAGAGAAGUGGCUCUCAAAAAAUGGUUUGAGAGGCUCCUUGAACGAUGAUGGAUUCAGCAGCUGUGAGGGACAUAGGGAGUUUGUUCCUCCUUAUCGGGACCAAAACUGAGAACCAACAGGCUUUAAGUGUAUGUAGCAUGUAGCACAUGAUGCUCACCCAGCAGUAUUAAUUGUUCCUUCAACCCC